This 73-nucleotide transfer RNA is filed under the name Rhizoctonia solani AG-8 WAC10335. Its description in RNAcentral is "tRNA-Ala (CGC) (tRNA-Ala-CGC-1-1)". It matches the Rfam family "tRNA". From Rfam's summary of the family: Transfer RNA (tRNA) molecules are approximately 80 nucleotides in length. Their secondary structure includes four short double-helical elements and three loops (D, anti-codon, and T loops). The record is from RNAcentral. Lineage: Eukaryota; Fungi; Basidiomycota; Agaricomycetes; Cantharellales; Ceratobasidiaceae.
GGGCAUGUAGUGUAGGGGUUAUCGCGCCUCAUUCGCAUUGAGGAGGCCCUGAGUUCGAUUCUCAGCUUGUCCA